This 324-nucleotide ribosomal RNA is filed under the name uncultured eukaryote. RNAcentral describes it as "partial 18S ribosomal RNA". It matches the Rfam family "Eukaryotic small subunit ribosomal RNA", at positions 1470 to 1796 of the family's 1831-position model. The record is from RNAcentral.
CCCUUAGAUGUUCUGAACCGCACGCGUGUUACACUGAUGCAUUCAACGAGCUUUACCUUGGCCGAGAGGCCUGGGAAAUCUUUUUAGCAUGCAUCGUGAUAGGGAUUGAUUAUUGCAAUUAUUAAUCAUGAACGAGGAAUUCCUAGUAAACGCAUUUCAUCAAAAUGCAUUGAUUACGUCCCUGCCCUUUGUACACACCGCCCGUCGCACCUACCGAUUGAGUGGUCCGGUGAAGUCUCGAGAUUGUGGCAAUCUCCUUUAUUGGAGUUUGACUGCGAGAACUUGCCUAAGCCUUAUCACUUAGAGGAAGGUGAAGUCGUAACA